ACGAACGCUGGCGGCGUGCUUAACCCAUGCAAGUCGCACGGGAUCCGGGCUUUCGGGUUUGGUGAGAGUGGCGAACGGGUGAGUAACACGUGAGUAACCUGCCCCCUUCUUUGGGAUAACGUCGGGAAAUCGGCGCUAAUACUGGAUAUUCUUGCUGCAUCGCAUGGUGUGGUUUGGAAAGGGUUUCUGGUGGGGGUUGGGCUCGCGGCCUAUCAGCUUGUUGGUGGGGUGAUGGCCUACCAAGGCUUUGACGGGUAGCCGGCCUGAGAGGGUGUCCGGCCACACUGGGACUGAGACACGGCCCAGACUCCUACGGGAGGCCGCAGUGGGGAAUAUUGCACAAUGGGCGCAAGCCUGAUGCAGCGACGCCGCGUGAGGGAUGACGGCCUUCGGGUUGUAAACCCCUUUCAGUAUGGAACAAGGAUCCUUCUUUUGGGGGGUUUGAGGGUACGUGCAGAAGAAGCGCCGGCUAACUACGUG
Molecule: ribosomal RNA, 480 nt
Filed under: uncultured bacterium
Lineage: Bacteria
Description: partial 16S ribosomal RNA
Rfam family: Bacterial small subunit ribosomal RNA
Source: RNAcentral